GACAGGGUCUUGCUCUGGUGCCCAGGCUGGAGUGCAGUGGUGUGAUCAGGGCUCACUGCAGCCUUGACUUCCCACGCUCAAACAAUUCUCCCACCUCAGUCUCCAAGUAGCUGGGUCUACAGGUACAUGUCACCAUGCCUGGCCAUUUUAAAAUUAUUAUUAUUUUUUGUAGAGACAGGGUCUCACUAUGUUGCCCAGGGUGGUCUUGACCUCUUGAACUCCUGGACCCAGGCUGGUCUUGAACUCCUGGACCCACCUUGGCCUCCUGAGGUGCUGGGAUUACAGGUGUCAGCCACCAUGCCCAUCCAGGAGGAAUAAAUUUUGAGAUCUAUUGCACAGCAUAGUGAUAAUAGCCAAAAAUAAUCUAUUCAAAUCUCAAAAUAACCAAGAUAUUCCAAAUGUUUCACCACAAAAAAAUGAUGAGUGAGAUGAUAGUUAUGUUAAUCAGUUUGAUUUAAUUACUUCUCAUUGUAUAUAUGGAAUAUAUAUAUCAAAACAUCACAAUGUACCCCAUAAAUAUAAUUUGUAGAUUAAAAAUAAUAUUAAGAAAAAAUAUGCUAUUGAAAAAAGUAUUUUUCAGGUAAUAAGUAUUCAAAUAAUUUCUGUUUCAAGACUGUCAUGAUUUUCUGUGUUGAGAGUUCAGGUUCAAAUCUAUUUCAUCAAACGUCUCUGUACUAAUUUUUUGUUAAUAAUGUUAUUAAUAAUACUAACAUUUUUAAAGUAAUUCAGUAUUUUGUAAUGUAAUUUGGUCAUUUGAAAUUUAACAUUGCCCAAAAUAUAAUUGUCUAUUCAUUUUUUUUUUUUCUUUAGACAGAGUUUCACUCUGUUGCCCAGGCUGGAGUGCAGUGGUGCGAUGUUGGCUCACUGCAACCUGUGUCUCCUAGGUUCAAGCGAUUCUCCUGCCCCAGUCUCCUGAGUAGCUGAAAUUAUAGGCAGGUGCCACCAUGCCUGGCUAACUUUUGUAUUUUUUAGUGGAGAUGGUGUUUCACCACGUUGGCCAGGCUGGUUUCGAACUACCGACCUCAAGUGAUUGGCCCCCUUGGCCUUCUGAAGUGCUGGGAUUACAGGCGUGAGACACUGUGCCUGGCCAUAACUGUGUAUUCUUAUGACCUCAAUAACUUCAAUAACCUAGUUGCUUUAGCAGGAAAAAGGAAAAGGCAUGGUGUUUCUGUAACAUUUAUAUUUAUCUGUAAAUACUAAUGUGUGAGCCAUGUAUGAAUCUUAUUUCAGUGCUGUUGAAUACCAACCUACAAGAUGCUUUCCAUAAUAAUGUAAACAUAGAAGGAACAUUUCCUCUCUUAAGAAACUUCCAGUUCUGUUUAGGAUAUUACAGACAAUGCAAUAUAUGAUGGCUUUCAAGUAAUUGAUAUAGACACUAAGUAUUUUAAAAGCAUAAGAGAAGCAAGGUCAUUGUCAACAGGGAUGGGCAGGAAGGGCUUCCUGAGAAAGGAGGAUGCAACUGUUUCUUGGUGGAUAAGUGGGAGUCAGAUCAAGGUUGGGGAAACUAUUCCAAGGACACAGAUGUGAAGAUAUCCACAACCAUUUAUGUAAUAUUUCAGCAGGAGUAGAGUUAUUGGGAGGGGAGAGGAGAAGGGAGAGGAGAAGCUGGUUUGAGAACAAAAUGUGGAAUGCUGUGUAUACCAAGUUAAAGGUAGUAAUUCUGAAGAUAAUCCAGAGGUGUUGUGGGAGCUUGAAAAAGAAAACAGAGGCUCAUUUAGAGAAGUAAAUUAUGUCUGCUAAUCAGAAAUUUCAUUUUACAAGCAUGCGAGUGAUCUUAGGUUUUACUGCAUCAGUUUACAUUAAGGCUGAUAGAGUACUAAUUUUAAUUCAUGGACUUAAUGUCUCAAUUUUACUAAUUGUUUAUAUCUCAAGAACUUUGUCAAGAAGUUUCUAUUCUCUUAGUUGAUUUCCUUUUUGUAAAAAAUUCAUAUAUGACUCUAAGUUUCUUUGGUUUUUCUUUGGUCUACAGCAUCAAGUGACCACAGAGUUUGGAAACUGAGACAAGUUGAGAGCUGAUAAAAUAAAAAUAUGCUUCUUAUUCCUAUGCAUUAAUUGGCAUGGUGUGUGAAGUAAAUGCAGUGAGGUGAGAAUCAAAACACUCACAUUAUUCCUGACUUUCUCAUUGAGAAAUGAUGUGGUCCUGGCAAAUUCACAAAUUUUCCAUCUAUGAGUGAGUGACAAUGAGAUAUCCCUGAUCACUUUACAUGGAGGUCAUGUGAUACACCUAAAGAGCAGGUCUCUUCCAACUAGUGGAAAGGUUAAUGGGCAAUGUUUAGGUUUCUGAGCAACUUGCAAAGUGAAGAAAACGAUCUUUAUCAUUCUUCGGCCAUGAAGUUUUCUUCCAAUAACCUGUAGAGUCUCCUCUGGUUCACCAGGACCAUGUGAUUGCUUGAGCUAUGAUUGAUCGCCCAUUAAUAAUGGAAAUUGUGUGCCAGUAAAGUUUUUUUUUUAAUACCAGAGCUUCCUUAAUUUAAAAAUGAUUAAUUAUUUUAAUUAAUACCAUCUCUCUUCUUUAGUGGGUUACACCAUCAAUUGUUGAUUUUCUUCUUCCUGCCAUGGUCUAACUUCACACCAUCCACUAUUUAUGUCAAUCACCAAAGAACAUAUAUUUGGUCUUCAAACUCGUUUCCUGGCUUACAACUUCUAAAACCCUAAGAAACUCCAAAGUGAUGUUCUUGUCUGCUUACGAGUUGACUGGUAGGUGGCAGCCUCUAGGUAGCUUCAGGAUGAG
RNAcentral lists this long non-coding RNA (2731 nucleotides) under Homo sapiens (human). RNAcentral describes it as "HSALNT0187211". Lineage: Eukaryota; Metazoa; Chordata; Mammalia; Primates; Hominidae. The record is from RNAcentral.